UUAAGCGACUAAGCGUACACGGUGGAUGCCCUGGCAGUCAGAGGCGAUGAAGGACGUGCUAAUCUGCGAUAAGCGUCGGUGAGGUGAUAUGAACCGUUAUAACCGGCGAUUUCCGAAUGGGGAAACCCAGUGUGUUUCGACACACUAUCAUUAACUGAAUCCAUAGGUUAAUGAGGCGAACCGGGGGAACUGAAACAUCUAAGUACCCCGAGGAAAAGAAAUCAACCGAGAUUCCCCCAGUAGCGGCGAGCGAACGGGGAGGAGCCCAGAGCCUGAAUCAGUGUGUGUGUUAGUGGAAGCGUCUGGAAAGGCGUGCGAUACAGGGUGACAGCCCCGUACACAAAAAUGCACAUAUUGUGAGCUCGAUGAGUAGGGCGGGACACGUGGUAUCCUGUCUGAAUAUGGGGGGACCAUCCUCCAAGGCUAAAUACUCCUGACUGACCGAUAGUGAACCAGUACCGUGAGGGAAAGGCGAAAAGAACCCCGGCGAGGGGAGUGAAAAAGAACCUGAAACCGUGUACGUACAAGCAGUGGGAGCCUCUUAAUGGGGUGACUGCGUACCUUUUGUAUAAUGGGUCAGCGACUUAUAUUCUGUAGCAAGGUUAACCGAAUAGGGGAGCCGAAGGGAAACCGAGUCUUAACUGGGCGUUAAGUUGCAGGGUAUAGACCCGAAACCCGGUGAUCUAGCCAUGGGCAGGUUGAAGGUUGGGUAACACUAACUGGAGGACCGAACCGACUAAUGUUGAAAAAUUAGCGGAUGACUUGUGGCUGGGGGUGAAAGGCCAAUCAAACCGGGAGAUAGCUGGUUCUCCCCGAAAGCUAUUUAGGUAGCGCCUCGUGAAUUCAUCUCCGGGGGUAGAGCACUGUUUCGGCAAGGGGGUCAUCCCGACUUACCAACCCGAUGCAAACUGCGAAUACCGGAGAAUGUUAUCACGGGAGACACACGGCGGGUGCUAACGUCCGUCGUGAAGAGGGAAACAACCCAGACCGCCAGCUAAGGUCCCAAAGUCAUGGUUAAGUGGGAAACGAUGUGGGAAGGCCCAGACAGCCAGGAUGUUGGCUUAGAAGCAGCCAUCAUUUAAAGAAAGCGUAAUAGCUCACUGGUCGAGUCGGCCUGCGCGGAAGAUGUAACGGGGCUAAACCAUGCACCGAAGCUGCGGCAGCGACACUAUGUGUUGUUGGGUAGGGGAGCGUUCUGUAAGCCUGUGAAGGUGGCCUGUGAGGGUUGCUGGAGGUAUCAGAAGUGCGAAUGCUGACAUAAGUAACGAUAAAGCGGGUGAAAAGCCCGCUCGCCGGAAGACCAAGGGUUCCUGUCCAACGUUAAUCGGGGCAGGGUGAGUCGACCCCUAAGGCGAGGCCGAAAGGCGUAGUCGAUGGGAAACAGGUUAAUAUUCCUGUACUUGGUGUUACUGCGAAGGGGGGACGGAGAAGGCUAUGUUGGCCGGGCGACGGUUGUCCCGGUUUAAGCGUGUAGGCUGGUUUUCCAGGCAAAUCCGGAAAACCAAGGCUGAGGCGUGAUGACGAGGCACUACGGUGCUGAAGCGACAAAUGCCCUGCUUCCAGGAAAAGCCUCUAAGCAUCAGGUAACAUCAAAUCGUACCCCAAACCGACACAGGUGGUCAGGUAGAGAAUACCAAGGCGCUUGAGAGAACUCGGGUGAAGGAACUAGGCAAAAUGGUGCCGUAACUUCGGGAGAAGGCACGCUGAUAUGUAGGUGAAGCGACUUGCUCGUGGAGCUGAAAUCAGUCGAAGAUACCAGCUGGCUGCAACUGUUUAUUAAAAACACAGCACUGUGCAAACACGAAAGUGGACGUAUACGGUGUGACGCCUGCCCGGUGCCGGAAGGUUAAUUGAUGGGGUUAGCGGCAACGCGAAGCUCUUGAUCGAAGCCCCGGUAAACGGCGGCCGUAACUAUAACGGUCCUAAGGUAGCGAAAUUCCUUGUCGGGUAAGUUCCGACCUGCACGAAUGGCGUAAUGAUGGCCAGGCUGUCUCCACCCGAGACUCAGUGAAAUUGAACUCGCUGUGAAGAUGCAGUGUACCCGCGGCAAGACGGAAAGACCCCGUGAACCUUUACUAUAGCUUGACACUGAACAUUGAGCCUUGAUGUGUAGGAUAGGUGGGAGGCUUUGAAGUGUGGACGCCAGUCUGCAUGGAGCCGACCUUGAAAUACCACCCUUUAAUGUUUGAUGUUCUAACGUUGGCCCGUAAUCCGGGUUGCGGACAGUGUCUGGUGGGUAGUUUGACUGGGGCGGUCUCCUCCUAAAGAGUAACGGAGGAGCACGAAGGUUGGCUAAUCCUGGUCGGACAUCAGGAGGUUAGUGCAAUGGCAUAAGCCAGCUUGACUGCGAGCGUGACGGCGCGAGCAGGUGCGAAAGCAGGUCAUAGUGAUCCGGUGGUUCUGAAUGGAAGGGCCAUCGCUCAACGGAUAAAAGGUACUCCGGGGAUAACAGGCUGAUACCGCCCAAGAGUUCAUAUCGACGGCGGUGUUUGGCACCUCGAUGUCGGCUCAUCACAUCCUGGGGCUGAAGUAGGUCCCAAGGGUAUGGCUGUUCGCCAUUUAAAGUGGUACGCGAGCUGGGUUUAGAACGUCGUGAGACAGUUCGGUCCCUAUCUGCCGUGGGCGCUGGAGAACUGAGGGGGGGCUGCUCCUAGUACGAGAGGACCGGAGUGGACGCAUCACUGGUGUUCGGGUUGUCAUGCCAAUGGCACUGCCCGGUAGCUAAAUGCGGAAGAGAUAAGUGCUGAAAGCAUCUAAGCACGAAACUUGCCCCGAGAUGAGUUCUCCCUGACUCCUUGAGAGUCCUGAAGGAACGUUGAAGACGACGACGUUGAUAGGCCGGGUGUGUAAGCGCAGCGAUGCGUUGAGCUAACCGGUACUAAUGAACCGUGAGGCUUAACCUU
Molecule: ribosomal RNA, 2903 nt
Filed under: Escherichia coli UMEA 3178-1
Lineage: Bacteria; Pseudomonadati; Pseudomonadota; Gammaproteobacteria; Enterobacterales; Enterobacteriaceae
Description: bacterial LSU rRNA
Rfam family: Bacterial large subunit ribosomal RNA
Source: RNAcentral